UGGGGAAUAUUGCACAAUGGGCGAAAGCCUGAUGCAGCGACGCCGCGUGCGGGAUGAAGGCCUUCGGGUUGUAAACCGCUUUUAAUUGGGAGCAAGCGAGAGUGAGUGUACCUUUUGAAUAAGCACCGGCUAACUACGUGCCAGCAGCCGCGGUAAUACGUAGGGUGCAAGCGUUAUCCGGAAUUAUUGGGCGUAAAGAGCUCGUAGGCGGUUUGUCACGCCUGGUGUGAAAGUCCAUCGCUUAACGGUGGAUCUGCGCCGGGUACGGGCAGGCUAGAGUGCAGUAGGGGAGAUUGGAAUUCCCGGUGUAACGGUGGAAUGUGUAGAUAUCGGGAAGAACACCAAUGGCGAAGGCAGAUCUCUGGGCUGUUACUGACGCUGAGGAGCGAAAGCAUGGGGAGCGAACAGGAUUAGAUACCCUGGUAGUCCAUGCCGUAAAACGGUGGAUGCUGGAUGUGGGACCCUUCCACGGGUUCCGUGUCGGAGCUAACGCGUUAAGCAUCCCCGCCUGGGGAGUACGGCCGCAAGGCUA
Molecule: ribosomal RNA, 532 nt
Filed under: uncultured bacterium
Lineage: Bacteria
Description: partial 16S ribosomal RNA
Rfam family: Bacterial small subunit ribosomal RNA
Source: RNAcentral